Molecule: ribosomal RNA, 516 nt
Filed under: uncultured bacterium
Lineage: Bacteria
Description: bacterial SSU rRNA
Rfam family: Bacterial small subunit ribosomal RNA
Source: RNAcentral
AAUAGAUACCCAGGUAGUCCACGCCCUAAACGAUGUCUACUAGUUGUCGGGUCUUAAUUGACUUGGUAACGCAGCUAACGCGUGAAGUAGACCGCCUGGGGAGUACGGUCGCAAGAUUAAAACUCAAAGGAAUUGACGGGGACCCGCACAAGCGGUGGAUGAUGUGGAUUAAUUCGAUGCAACGCGAAAAACCUUACCUACCCUUGACAUGGCAGGAAUCCUGGAGAGAUCUGGGAGUGCUCGAAAGAGAACCUGCACACAGGUGCUGCAUGGCUGUCGUCAGCUCGUGUCGUGAGAUGUUGGGUUAAGUCCCGCAACGAGCGCAACCCUUGUCAUUAGUUGCUACGCAAGAGCACUCUAAUGAGACUGCCGGUGACAAACCGGAGGAAGGUGGGGAUGACGUCAAGUCCUCAUGGCCCUUAUGGGUAGGGCUUCACACGUCAUACAAUGGUACAUACAGAGGGCCGCCAACCCGGCGAGGGGGAGCUAAUCCCAGAAAGUGUAUCGUAGUCCGGA